UACGUAGGGUGCAAGCGUUAAUCGGAAUUACUGGGCGUAAAGCGUGCGCAGGCGGUUUUGUAAAUCUGUCGUGAAAGCCCCGGGCUCAACCUGGGAAUUGCGAUGGAGACUGCAAGGCUUGAAUCUGGCAGAGGGGGGUAGAAUUCCAUGUGUAGCAGUGAAAUGCGUAGAGAUGUGGAGGAACACCGAUGGCGAAGGCAGCCCCCUGGGUCAAGAUUGACGCUCAUGCACGAAAGCGUGGGGAGCAAACAGG
RNAcentral lists this ribosomal RNA (253 nucleotides) under uncultured bacterium. RNAcentral describes it as "partial 16S ribosomal RNA". It matches the Rfam family "Bacterial small subunit ribosomal RNA", at positions 524 to 776 of the family's 1533-position model. The record is from RNAcentral.